This 1339-nucleotide long non-coding RNA is filed under the name Sus scrofa (pig). Its description in RNAcentral is "lncRNA (ENSSSCG00045022028.1)". The record is from RNAcentral. Lineage: Eukaryota; Metazoa; Chordata; Mammalia; Artiodactyla; Suidae.
AAGGCAGAGUUGUCAACUGUCUGGCUAAGUGUUGAAAAAUAUUACUGGGCUUAGUGAGAAUUGGAGCUUAAGCUUCCCAUUAGUCAAACCUACUUGGAAACCCAGUUAGCAAGGCAAUCUAGGAUGGGUCCAAGAGAACUCAUAGAGAGGUAGGGCUAACUCUUGCCUGAGGGCAUUUACCAAUUAAGAGGAAAUGGUAACAUAUCUUCAUAUGGAAGAUUGUUGGACUCCAGGGGAAAAUAAUCAAAGCCAUCAGAGAAAUGAAAUGAUUGUCAGAGACUGGAUGGUAGAGAGGAGAUUGGCUACAAAUGGACAUAGGAACUUUUUUGGACCUUUCACUCUGGGGAAAGACAGCUGCCAUGUCGUGAGGACACUCAACCAAUCUACAGCAAGGUCCACAUGGGGCUGAAAACUGAUGGACAGGCCUGGUUGAUUUCCUUGCUCAAGGAAUUCACAAGUUAGAGGUCUUUAUCCUCAUCACCAUAGAACCUAUCCUCCUCCAUAGAUCUGAAGACAUUAAUGAAAUCAAAUGUAGCUACUUCCUUCAAUAGGUUGGAGGAUUUGCACUCUGUUUAAGCAAUCUUUGUUUACACCAACAUCUUGAAGAGUUUCUCCUAUUUUCUUCAGGUAAUUUUAUUGUAUUCUUUUUUACAUUUAGGCCUAGGAACCAUCUUCAUGAAUUAAUUAGUUAAUUAAUUAAAUGUGUAUGGACUCAAAGUACAUUAUUUCCAUAUAAAUUUCCAAUUGACCAAGCACUGUUUAUCCUACUCAACUGCGAUUGUGCUUUUGUCAUAUAUGAUAGCAUCUAUCAUGUGUGGAACUGUUUCUGGGCUCUCUGUUCUGGUGUAUUAGACUGUUUGUGCUUGGUGUUAAUUUUACAUUGUCUUAAUUACUAUAGCUUUAUAGCAAGUCUUUACAAUGUAGUUUUAUAGCCAGUACAGCCUUCAUUUGUUUUUCUCUUCAAAGAUCAUCUUGCUAUAUUAGGUCAUCUGUGUUUCCAUAGAAAAUGUGACAACUUUCACAGACAAUUAGAAUUUUGAUUGAGACUGCUUUGCAUCCGUAGACCAAAGUUGGCUUUAAGAAUAUGAAAUUUUAAUAUUUCCUUUAAGUAGUUCCCAUCGUAGCUCAGCAGAUAGCAAACCUGACUAGCCUCCAUGAGGAUGCAAUGAUCCCUGGCCUUGCUCAGUGGGUUAUGGAUAUUGCGUUGCUGUGAGCUAUGGUGUGGGUUGCAGAUGCGGCUUGGAUCCCACGUGGCUAUGGUGUAGGCCAGCAGCUUCAGCUCUGAUUGGACCCCUAGCCUGGGAACCUCCAUAUGCCAUGGAUGUAGCCCUAAAAAGAC